GAAAUGCGAUAAGUAAUGUGAAUUGCAGAAUUCAGUGAAUCAUCGAAUCUUUGAACGCACCUUGCGCUCCUUGGUAUUCCUUGGAGCAUGCCUGUUUGAGUAUCAUGAAAUCUUCAAAGUAAAUCUUUUGUUAACUCAAUUGGUUUCUACUUUGGUAUUGGAGGUCUUUGCAGCUUCACACCUGCUCCUCUUUGUUCAUUAGCUGGAUCUCAGUGUUAUGCUUGGUUCCACUCGGCGUGAUAAGUUAUCUAUCGCUGAGGACACUGUAAAAGGUGGCCAAGGUAAAUGCAGAUGAACCGCUUCUAAUAGUCCAUUGACUUGGACAAUACUUUUAUGAUCUGAUCUGAAAGCAGGUAGGACUACCCGCUGAACUUAAGC
RNAcentral lists this unclassified non-coding RNA (378 nucleotides) under plant metagenome. Its description in RNAcentral is "partial contains 5.8S ribosomal RNA, internal transcribed spacer 2, and large subunit ribosomal RNA". The stretch from base 1 to 105 matches the Rfam family "5.8S ribosomal RNA", at positions 50 to 154 of the family's 154-position model. The record is from RNAcentral.